UACGUAGGGUGCAAGCGUUAAUCGGAAUUACUGGGCGUAAAGCGUGCGCAGGCGGUUCGUUGUGUCGGUGGUGAAAGCCCCGGGCUCAACCUGGGAAUGGCCAUGGAAACUGGCGAACUGGAGUGUGGCAGAGGGGGGUGGAAUUCCGCGUGUAGCAGUGAAAUGCGUAGAGAUGCGGAGGAACACCGAUGGCGAAGGCAGCCCCCUGGGCUAGCACUGACGCUCAGGCACGAAAGCGUGGGGAGCAAACAGG
This 253-nucleotide ribosomal RNA is filed under the name uncultured bacterium. RNAcentral's name for it is "partial 16S ribosomal RNA". It matches the Rfam family "Bacterial small subunit ribosomal RNA", at positions 524 to 776 of the family's 1533-position model. The record is from RNAcentral.